This 253-nucleotide ribosomal RNA is filed under the name uncultured bacterium. Its description in RNAcentral is "partial 16S ribosomal RNA". It matches the Rfam family "Bacterial small subunit ribosomal RNA", at positions 524 to 776 of the family's 1533-position model. The record is from RNAcentral.
UACAGAGGGUGCAAGCGUUAAUCGGAAUUACUGGGCGUAAAGGGUGCGUAGGUGGUUUGAUAAGUUGGGUGUGAAAGUCCUGGGCUUAACCUAGGGAUUGCGCUCAAUACUGUUAAGCUAGAGUACUGUAGAGGAAGGUGGAAUUUCCAGUGUAGCGGUGAAAUGCGUAGAUAUUGGAAGGAACAUCAGUGGCGAAGGCGACUUUCUGGACAGAUACUGACACUGAGGCACGAAAGCGUGGGGAGCAAACAGG